Molecule: microRNA precursor, 105 nt
Filed under: Canis lupus familiaris (dog)
Lineage: Eukaryota; Metazoa; Chordata; Mammalia; Carnivora; Canidae
Also listed under: 1 other name
Description: mir-8834 microRNA precursor family
Rfam family: mir-8834 microRNA precursor family
Source: Rfam by way of RNAcentral
AGGAGGAACAACCCCAGUGGCGGGGCCAGCUCUGGAGCCCUGGAUUCAGCCCCCGCAGUAACUCCGGAGCUCUCUGUCUGCAGGGCCUGGAGGCUCCGGGGCGGG